Molecule: long non-coding RNA, 6243 nt
Filed under: Sus scrofa (pig)
Lineage: Eukaryota; Metazoa; Chordata; Mammalia; Artiodactyla; Suidae
Description: lncRNA (ENSSSCG00005018655.1)
Source: RNAcentral
CUUGGUUUUGGUAUCAGGGUGACGGUGGCUUCAUAGAAUGAGUUUGGAAGUAUUCCUUCCUUUUUAGUUUUUUAGAAUCGUUUCAGGAGGAUAGGUAUUAACUUUUUUCUCUGAAUGUUUGGUAGCAUUCACCUGUCAAGUCAUCUGGUCCUGGACUUUUUUGUUUGCUGAGAGUAUUAAAAUUACUGAUUCAGUUUCAGCACUGGUAAUUGGUCUGUUCAUAUUUUCUCAUUCUUCCUGACUCAGCCUUGGAAGAUUGUACCUAAGAAUUUGUCCAUUUUCCUAAUAGGUGGUCCAUUUUGUUGCCAUGUAGUUGCUCGUGAUAAUUUCUUAUGAUCCUUUGUAUUUCUGUAACUUCUCCUUUUUCACGUCUGACUUUAUUGAUUUGGGGGCCCUCCCUUUUUUUCUUGAUGAAUCUGACUAAAGGUUUAUCACUUUUCUUUAUCUUUUCAAAGAACCAGCUUUUAGUUUGAUUGAUCUCUUCUACUUUUUUAGUCUCUAUUUCCUUUAUUUCUGUUGUUUAUAUUUUCUAAUUUUUUGUUAAAAAUGUCUGAUUUCUUGCCCUGUGCAUCCGUUGUCCUCCGGAGUUCAUUGAUCAUCCUUAUGGUCAUUACUCUGUACUGGGGUUUAGUUUUGUUUCUUUGUCUAAAACCUUGCUGUGUCACCUCAUUUUGUCUAUAUUUCAGUUUCUAUUUUUAUGGACGUGGUGGGUUGGUUAUGUCUCACAACCAUGGAGAAGCCUCUGUUGGAAUCUUCUUGGGCUUCCCAGCAGUGCACUCCUUUCUUGUCACUCGAGGGCUGGGGUCAGCUAGUCUCAGGGUCUUUAGGCAGCCUGCUUGCUGAUGGGUAGGGCAGUGUCCCCACCCAGUUUGUUUUUUGGCCUAGGGUGUCCCAGUACUGGAUCCUAUAGGCUGUUAGGUGGGGUCAGUUCCUGGUAUCAAGCUGUCAGCCUCCAGGAGGGCUCACAUAGAGGAGUGUGCCCUAAUAUAUCUGCCACUAGUGCGUCCCUAGGUUGAGCCACUGCUGCCCCCUGCCUUCCCAGGAGCCACGCCAAGACCAGCGGGUAGGUCUGGCUCGGUUCCUAUCAAAUCAGGGCUCUGCCCUUUGUCCCAGUGUAUGUGAGGUGUCAUCUUUAAGAGUGAAGUGUCAAUUUCCCCCAGUUCUGUGAAUAUCCUGCAGUCAAGCCCUACUGGCCUUCACAGCUAAAUGCUCAGGGGGCUCCUCUUCCUGGUGCUGGACCCCCAGGCUGGAGCUCAGAACUCUCACUCCUAUCGGAGAGCCUCUGUAAUGCAAUUAUUCUCCCAGGUGUGAUUGCCCACCUUGGGGUAUGGGAUUUGAUUGUAUUGUGAGUCUGCUCUUCCUACCAGUCUUGUUGUAGUUCCUUCUUUAUGUCUUUAGUUUAGAAGAUCUUUCUUGGUGGGUGUCAGUCUUUUUCAGUGAUGGUGGUUCUGCAGAAGACUGCGAUGUUGGUGUGCUCGCGAGCUUAGGGUCCUUCCCUGCCGUCUUGGCCCGACUCUCUGUGGUGCACAUUUAACACACCUGUACUCACCUCUGCUUGGGGCAUGUGAAUGGCUGAUUGCUCUUUUGCAGGCAGUAUGAUCGUGUGUUUCUGUGUAUGUUACUUUUGUGGAGGGUAAAAGUGGUCCCUCACAGUUUAGCAAAUCUCCAAAAUUCCUGACGGGAAUGUCCGUGAAAAUACGGCGACUGAUCUCAUGCCAGAAAUGCCUUUUAUUGUAUGUGGCAAAAUGGUCUUAUGUACAUAUUAUUUUAUUCACAAAGAGAAGUCAUACUUUCCCCGAAAGGUGAGAGGUAUGGUACACAUCAGAGAUUUUCUUCCUGAAAGGGAAACCUUUCUUCAUUGCUUUACAACUAAAUCAUAGGAACUUACAUAUACAGUGAUUGCUUUUUGAUCACUAGAACGUCUUUUUUCAUAGUUCUUUUGUGUCAUUGCAGUGUUGGGCUCCUUUUUAUGAGACAAUAAAGAGUGUAAAAUGGAUGCCCGGUCAGUGGUUCCCAAGGAUAGGGCAGCUUGGUGUGGCCAGACAGGUGAAAACUCGAUUUGGAAGCACAUUCUUCUUCCUGAUGGAAAUCACCAACAUCAGUUUUUCCUCCGCCCCACAGUCACCAGGUUUCGUUUUCUUUUUGUAGGAAUGUGCUGUAGGAGAAUUUUCUACAUUGUUUUGAAUUGUAUCAGGUCCAGAGAGAAUUAGCGAGACAGGGAGCUCUCCCUCAAAUUUCCUCUGACCAGGUGGCCGAGAGCAUCCUUUAGGGUAUGGUGUGCUGGGGUUUGUUGCGCUCAUGUGCAUCUCUGUAGAGAGUCAAGUCUGGGCUUCUUCCCUUGAGGUUUUGUGUAACUGUGGACACUUUAACGACUGAAUGCCGGUGAGAUGGCAGUAGACGUUUGGGCUCUGGCUGCACAUGAGGCAGCCAAACUGAGGAGGAGUAAAUAAGGUAGGUGGGAAAUUGAAGGCUUCUGAAGACAGGUUCUUAUCGUUCCUGCAGUGCAGUGGGACCUGGGGAUAAAACUGACCCAGAACUCAAUGCCACAGAUGCAGCCACUGGUUUAGUCUUCUUAUCCUGUAACAUCCUUACUGUUUAUUUCCUUCUUGGUUAUUCCAUCAGCUUCAGAUGAAGAAAGAACAGCAGAGCCCAUUACUUACAGAAUACAGUUUUAUUUAACCUUCUUGAAGGUAUGUUAAGAUCAUUUUGUAUAAAUCUUCCAGAUACUGGCAUUUUCAUUUCCAAUUUUUUCCUGUAGGUUCAAGGUCUUGCAAUUUAAAAAACUUUGAAAAGAAUCUUUAAGUAUGUGUUCAAGAAUUUUUUAACAGUUUGAUUGCAUCUUCCCUAGGUAUACGUCCUUCAUUUUGCAUCUCAGAAACUUGUGCCUUUGUUCUCCAGGAGCCACAUUGUCAGUGAAUGUUGAACUUACGGUGGACUGUUGACAAACAGUUGUCUCUCAUUUUGAAAGUUGUUUUAAUUUUUCAAAAAUAUAAACACAUGAGCUGUUUGUUUUUUCAGCUUGCUUUAAAAAAGGAAAAUGUAAAUAGAAUCCUGCAAAUAUUAUACCAGAGAGGUUACCUUGUGUGGUGGCUGGGUUGUGGGUAUGUUCUGAGGUGGAGACCCUGCUGGCUUUGGGUUGUACUCCGGUGCAACCCUGCAGAAGGCUGACCCUAACAGGCUGCAGCUGCUCUCUUCCCGGAACAUUUAUCUGGGUCACCAGAAAAUUAAGAAUCUUACACAGAGAAUCUCUGCAGGAACAUUAUUAAGUAAAAGACUUUGUCUCAGAGGCCAAAGGUGAGGAUAGGUUUCUUUUCUGUUUUUUUUUUUUUUUUUUUUUUUUAAAUGAAAACUUAAGCUUUGUUGCUAAUGGGCCUCCUCUGUGCAUAGCUUUAGGAAACAGCUCUGUCAUCAAGUGAGACAUCUCAGGGAAAGCAGCUUUGCAUUUUUCAUUUUGUUUUUGUCACUAGCUGUGUUCAUUAAAAUACUUACAUUUUUUAUUUUUUUAAUUUCCUCAAUACCUUUUUUUUUCUGCUGUGCAGCCUGGUGACCCAGUUACACAUACAUGUAUACAUUCUAUUUUCUCCCAUUAUCAUGCUCCAUUAUAAGUGACUAGACAUAGUUCCCAGUGCCACACAGCAGGAUCUCAUUGCUAAUCCAUUCCAGAGGCAAUAGUCUGCAUCUAUUAUCCCAAGCUCCUGGAUUAGGAAGAUGUAGUAUAUAUACACAAUGGAAUACUACUCAGCCAUAAAAAAGAACAAAAUAAUGCCAUUUGCAGCAACAUGGAUGGAACUAGAGACUCUCAUACUGAGUAAAACACUUUUAAGAACACUGAUUUCUGGUUUGAAAAAAAAUCACUCGUGUGGAACUGGUAGCACUUGUGUGGAGUGUUAAAGGGCAGUGUUCCACAAGGCUCUGUCAAAGUCUUGGUGUUUGUACCCCUAGGUGUAUGUGCCUUGUAGGUAUGCAUAUGUACCAUGUGUGUGUGGCACAUGUGUGUUUGUAUACUAUGUGGGUGUUGUAUGUCCAUAGGUACCAUGCAUACAUUGUACACGUGUGUCUGUACCAUGUACAUGUGUAUUAUACUUGCACAUGUAAAUUUAGCCAAGGAAGGGAAGGAACUGGCAGUGGUAAAUGUAAGACUUUGAAACUCAGGAAGGCAAAAUAAAUGGGAAGAUAAAGUGUGUUCAUGGAUCAGGAGAAUUAAUAUUGUGCAUAUGUGUGCACAUUUGUAUGUAUGCACAGAUACCAUAACCACUCUGCACAUAUGUGGCCUGUAUAUUAUAUAUGUGUUUAUGCAUGUACAUUGUAUGUAUAACAUAUACUACAUGCACACAUGUGUAUGUGUACAUUGUGUGCAUUUACACUGUAUAUAUGCUAUAAAAAUACACUAUAUGUGUAUAUGUGUGCAUUACAUAUAUUUCAUACAUGCACUAUAUGUAUAUAUAUACAUACAUUCUAUGCAUGUAUGAUGUGCAUAUACUCUGUAUGUACAUAGUGUAUACAUUAUGGUUAAUGUUAGUGCAUAUGUUCAUUGUGUGUAUGCAUGUAUACAUGCCAUAGAUGCUGUGUAUCCAUGCUGCAUUAUAUAUGUAUGAACACUGUGUGUAAACUACGUGUGUAUCCACUGUAAGGAUAUAUAUGGCUGUUUCUCUGUAUGUGUGGACACACUAUGCAUGUGCUGUAUAUGUGCAUACACUCUGUAUAUGUCUGCAUAAUAUGUAUAUAUGAACACUAAACUAUAUGUGUAUCCACCGUAAGGAUAUAUAUGGCUAUAUUAUGUGUGCACAUGUAACUAUCUUUGUAUGUGUGGACACUCUGUGCAUGUGCUGUAUAUGUGCGUACACUCUCUAUAUGUCUGCACAGUAUGUAGUGUCAGGAAUACAGCUCCAGCAGGGCUCCAGCGCAUGACCAUUUGGCUGGCUUGGGGAGAGUAAUGUGUGAAACACUCGUUCCGGAUCGCAUAGUAUACGAAAUUUGGCAAGUUAAUGGGCCUUUGCAAUGAUGUAGGGACCAAACACUUCACUGAUGGAUGUGUGUGUGUUCACUUAAUCAUCAUAACAGCCCUGUGAAGUAGGUUUUAUCUCCAGAUGAGGACUGAGAUUUACUGGUGACUUGUGUAAGGAAAGGAAACUUAAAAGUAAUGGUAGCAUCAUGUCAACUAUCUUUUCUUCAUUUACUUUCUUAUCACAACCUUUGUUAGCAUUUAACUAACAACCUGGAAGUUGCCACUCAUCAGGAAAUAGGAUCAUCUUCCAACUGUUUAUAUUUAUUCAAAGAGUAGUGACUGCUGUUUUCCUGUCACUGUGUAGCAAAAUGCCAUUAAUGUUGCCAGUGUGAGCAGUUCAAAAUAAACACAGUAUCACUCUUAAAAUUGAAAAUGAACAUAAGUUCAUUUUUUAGGUAUUGUUUGGAAGGAUAAGAAAAAAGACAUUUAAGAUGAAAGGAGGGUUUCUUUGCCAUUUCUUUGGGAAUUUCCUUUUGGUGGAUUAUUGCUAGAAUAUUCUUUUUUUUUUUUUUCUUCCCCUCAGGGUUCUGCUUUUGGUGAAACGAAAGUAGUUAAAGUCUUUGGGUUUUGUCUCAGCCAAGUUCAGCUUACUAAUUACUACAGUAAAUCACAUAAAAUUACAUACUAGUUAAUAUAAGUACCUGGAAGGCAGGAGUUGGUUUUAUACUUUUUGUAGCUACAGCACUAAUGGCUGCAAACUGUUCCUCUGGCCAUUCCUAGACAAACCUUCACAGGGUUAUGUGCCAAGCAUGGUAUUAGUUCCAGAGGAUACAAAAAUGAAUUCAAGCUUUAAUUUGUGAAGCUCUCACCACACUUGGAGAGCACGUUGACAACUGGUGUGACAAAGUGUAAAAAACAGGUGUUCAGACUGUUUUGGGCAUGUAGAAAAUGGAAUUGACUUGAUGUGAUAAAAUUUUCGAAUUUACUUUUGUGUUUAUUCUACUGAUAAUCCUGAUGCUUUCUUUUUAACCUUAAAGAUUGUUGUUAAUCACUGAUGAAUUGGUAAGCAACUCUGUGUGUGUUCUAAAUCUAGUGAUGCGUUCAUUAACUGGAGACCAUUCACCUCGAUGGGGACAGUAAUAUGUCAAAAGACGGCCCAGUUCCACGCCAUCGAAGGGUCGUUAAAUACCACCGGGUGCAUCCUUGCUGGGAUUUGCUCAGGUGGGAAAUGGCAGCAUUUCGUCUUUUGCUGAUAGGUGCACUCAGGGUGCGGGAGUGAGCAGUUCAAAUUUAGAUGU